UGGGGAAUAUUGCACAAUGGGCGCAAGCCUGAUGCAGCCAUGCCGCGUGUAUGAAGAAGGCCUUCGGGUUGUAAAGUACUUUCAGCGGGGAGGAAGGGAGUAAAGUUAAUACCUUUGCUCAUUGACGUAACCCGCAGAAGAAGCACCGGCUAACUCCGUGCCAGCAGCCGCGGUAAUACGGAGGGUGUAAGCGUUAAUCGGAAUUACUGGGCGUAAAGCGCACGCAGGCGGUUUGUUAAGUCAGAUGUGAAAUCCCCGGGCUCAACCUGGGAACUGCAUCUGAUACUGGCAAGCUUGAGUCUCGUAGAGGGGGGUAGAAUUCCAGGUGUAGCGGUGAAAUGCGUAGAGAUCUGGAGGAAUACCGGUGGCGAAGGCGGCCCCCUGGACGAAGACUGACGCUCAGGUGCGAAAGCGUGGGGAGCAAACAGG
Molecule: ribosomal RNA, 429 nt
Filed under: Chloroflexota bacterium
Lineage: Bacteria; Bacillati; Chloroflexota
Description: Chloroflexi bacterium partial 16S ribosomal RNA
Rfam family: Bacterial small subunit ribosomal RNA
Source: RNAcentral